This 260-nucleotide long non-coding RNA is filed under the name Capsella rubella. RNAcentral describes it as "long non-coding RNA (CRUB_LNC000885)". The record is from RNAcentral. Lineage: Eukaryota; Viridiplantae; Streptophyta; Magnoliopsida; Brassicales; Brassicaceae.
AAUAGCAGUAGACGAAAUAAUAUGGAUUUGAUGUUUUAUGGGUAUAUGCGAGCAUGAGGGAAAUUAAAGACAUUCCAUCUCCCAAAGCAUGGCUAAAUCUUAAUUACGACACAAGCUAAUUUGGUUUUUAACGUUUAAACACAACUUCUGCCUAACUUUUUACAUAUAUUGAAAAAUAAAAAAUAAAAAACAGAAACAUGAAUUUUAGUAGAAAGCAUCUCAAAGUAGAAAGCAUCUCAUCGUUGAUAAAAAUAGAAAGC